CUGACGAACCACGAUGUCAUUAAUUUGGUGCUGUGGGGAAUCAGGACUGUUACUUUGAAAAAAUUAGAGUGUUUAAAGCAGGCUAAAGCUUGAAUAGAUUAGCAUGGAAUAACGAAAUAGGACGUUUGAUCUUAUUUUGUUGGUUUCUAAGAUCGACGUAAUGAUUAAUAGGGAUAGUUGGGGGCAUUAGUAUUCAAUUGUCAGAGGUGAAAUUCUUGGAUUUAUUGAAGACUAACUACUGCGAAAGCAUUUGCCAAGGAUGUUUUCAUUAAUCAAGAACGAAAGUUAGGGGAUCGAAGACGAUCAGAUACCGUCGUAGUCUUAACCAUAAACUAUGCCGACUAGGGAUCGGAUGAUGUUAAUUUUUAAUGACUCAUUCGGCGCCUUACGGGAAAC
RNAcentral lists this ribosomal RNA (396 nucleotides) under uncultured Glomus. RNAcentral's name for it is "SSU rRNA". It matches the Rfam family "Eukaryotic small subunit ribosomal RNA", at positions 703 to 1098 of the family's 1831-position model. Lineage: Eukaryota; Fungi; Glomeromycota; Glomeromycetes; Glomerales; Glomeraceae. The record is from RNAcentral.